This 254-nucleotide ribosomal RNA is filed under the name uncultured bacterium. RNAcentral's name for it is "partial 16S ribosomal RNA". It matches the Rfam family "Bacterial small subunit ribosomal RNA", at positions 524 to 776 of the family's 1533-position model. The record is from RNAcentral.
UACAGAGACUGCAAGCGUUAUUCGGAUUCACUGGGCGUAAAGGGUGCGCAGGCGGUUGGGUGUGUCAGAUGUGAAAUCCCGAGGCUCAACCUCGGAACUGCGUCUGAAACUACUCGACUAGAGUACUGGAGAGGGUAACGGAAUUCACGGUGUAGCAGUGAAAUGCGUAGAUAUCAGGAGGAACACCGAUGGCGAAGGCAGGUCUCUGGGCUGACACUGACGCUCAUGCACGAAAGCGUGGGGGAGCAAACAGG